This 468-nucleotide ribosomal RNA is filed under the name uncultured bacterium. RNAcentral describes it as "partial 16S ribosomal RNA". It matches the Rfam family "Bacterial small subunit ribosomal RNA", at positions 28 to 507 of the family's 1533-position model. The record is from RNAcentral.
GACGAACGCUGGCGGCGUGCUUAACACAUGCAAGUCGAACGGAAAGGCCCUGCUUUUGUGGGGUGCUCGAGUGGCGAAAGGGUGAGUAACACGUGAGUAACCUGCCCUUGACUUUGGGAUAACUUCAGGAAACUGGAGCUAAUAACGGAUAGGAGCUCCUGCUGCAUGGUGGGGGUUGGAAAGUUUCGGCGGUUGGGGAGGUACUCGCGGCUUAUCAGCUUGUUGGUGGGGUAGUGGCUUACCAAGGCGUUGAAGGGUAGCCGGCCUGAGAGGGUGACCGGCCACAUUGGGACUGAGAUACGGCCCAGACUCCUACGGGAGGCAGCAGUGGGGAAUAUUGCACAAUGGGCGGAAGCCUGAUGCAGCAACGCCGCGUGCGGGAUGACGGCCUUCGGGUUGUAAACCGCUUUCGCCUGUGACGAAGCGUGAGUGACGGUAAUGGGUAAAGAAGCACCGGCUAACUACGUG